This 433-nucleotide ribosomal RNA is filed under the name uncultured bacterium. Its description in RNAcentral is "partial 16S ribosomal RNA". It matches the Rfam family "Bacterial small subunit ribosomal RNA", at positions 29 to 507 of the family's 1533-position model. The record is from RNAcentral.
AGCGAACGCUGGCGGCAGGCUUAACACAUGCAAGUCGAGCGGACCUUUCGGGGUCAGCGGCGGACGGGUGAGUAACGCGUGGGAACGUGCCUUCCGGUUCGGAAUAACCCUGGGAAACUAGGGCUAAUACCGGAUACGCCCUUAUGGGGAAAGGUUUACUGCCGGAAGAUCGGCCCGCGUCUGAUUAGCUAGUUGGUGGGGUAACGGCCUACCAAGGCGACGAUCAGUAGCUGGUCUGAGAGGAUGAUCAGCCACACUGGGACUGAGACACGGCCCAGACUCCUGCGGGAGGCAGCAGUGGGGAAUAUUGGACAAUGGGCGCAAGCCUGAUCCAGCCAUGCCGCGUGAGUGAUGAAGGCCUUAGGGUUGUAAAGCUCUUUUAUCCGGGACGAUAAUGACGGUACCGGAGGAAUAAGCCCCGGCUAACUUCGUG